Molecule: long non-coding RNA, 140 nt
Organism: Melanotaenia boesemani (Boeseman's rainbowfish)
Lineage: Eukaryota; Metazoa; Chordata; Actinopteri; Atheriniformes; Melanotaeniidae
Exons: 3
Source: RefSeq, a predicted model, not a curated record
GCAAACUUUAAUAAAAAAUAUUAAUUGUGAUGUGCAUGCUGCUAUUGUGAAUGCAAACUAUUAUUUAGAUCACAUUAAAUUUAUGAGAUUUUAGAAUGAGGUGAAAGUCAAGUUAGAAAAGUGCUGAAAGUCAGUGUGUC